GAUGAAGAACGUAGCGAAAUGCGAUAAGUAGUGUGAAUUGCAGAAUUCAGUGAAUCAUCGAAUCUUUGAACGCACAUUGCGCCCUUUGGUAUUCCUUAGGGCAUGCCUGUUCGAGCGUCAUUUAAACCUUCAAGCUAAGCUUGGUGUUGGGUGACUGUCCGCUUCACGGCGGACUCGCCUCAAAAUUAUUGGCGGCCGGUACAUUGGCUUCGAGCGCAGCAGAAACGCGAACUCGGGCCCGUCGUAUUGGCUCCCAGAAGCUAUCUUCACAAUUUUGACCUCGAAUCAGGUAGGGAUACCCGCUGAACUUAAGCAUAUCAUAAGCGGAGGA
RNAcentral lists this unclassified non-coding RNA (331 nucleotides) under soil metagenome. Its description in RNAcentral is "partial contains 5.8S ribosomal RNA, internal transcribed spacer 2, and large subunit ribosomal RNA". The stretch from base 1 to 120 matches the Rfam family "5.8S ribosomal RNA", at positions 35 to 154 of the family's 154-position model. The record is from RNAcentral.